AAUACUCAACAGAAACUGCUCUGCACUGGCCCCACAUUAGGGGGUUCCUAUCUACGGUUUCUAAAUGUGAGCCCCUUGACAACUGCUGUGGCAGACACGACCAUCCCCAUGGAGGGGCUGAGAACAAUGAAGCACAGACAGGCCAGGGUCACCCAAAGCCGGGAUGACAGCCCGCUUUUCUCUGGUGGUUCUACUCAGCCGCUCCACUGAGGAGAUGGGAGAGGUGAGGGGCGCAGGAGGAAGGUGGAGCUCAAAGGGAGGCUGGAACCCAUGGCCAUGACCUACCCCAAGGAGGUGGCCCAGGGCCACAGAGAAGCCUAUGGAGAGAGCAGGGGUGCUCGGGUUCUCUCCGCGGCGCUCAUCGGUGGAGGCAAAGAUGCAGAGCACCAGCUGCAGUGUCAGGAAGAGCUCCACAGUUACCGCCUGGCCAGCCGUCGUGCUGUUGCUGAGCUGGGGACAAAGAGGCAGAUGAGGAAGGGCCACUUGUGCAGAGAAGGGGGUGGCCACAGAGAUUGUGCAGGACUCGUCAAAGACAUCGGGACUCUUGUCCAGUGGCCCAGGGAUGGAAAAGGCCAGGAACUACUGGAGA
This 589-nucleotide non-coding RNA is filed under the name Pongo abelii (Sumatran orangutan). Lineage: Eukaryota; Metazoa; Chordata; Mammalia; Primates; Hominidae. The record is from RNAcentral.